GAACGCUAGCUACAGGCUUAACACAUGCAAGUCGAGGGGCAGCAUGGUCUUAGCUUGCUAAGGCCGAUGGCGACCGGCGCACGGGUGAGUAACGCGUAUCCAACCUGCCUUACACUCUUGGACAGCCUUCUGAAAGGGAGAUUAAUACAAGAUGUUAUCAUGAGUAAGCAUUUUCGCAUGAUUAAAGGUUUACCGGUGUAAGAUGGGGAUGCGUUCCAUUAGAUAGUAGGCGGGGUAACGGCCCACCUAGUCUUCGAUGGAUAGGGGUUCUGAGAGGAAGGUCCCCCACAUUGGAACUGAGACACGGUCCAAACUCCUACGGGAGGCAGCAGUAAGGAAUAUUGGUCAAUGGACGAGAGUCUGAACCAGCCAAGUAGCGUGAAGGAUGAAGGUUCUAUGGAUUGUAAACUUCUUUUAUACGGGAAUAAACGGAUCCACGUGUGGAUUUUUGCAUGUACCGUAUGAAUAAGGAUCGGCUAACUCCGUGCCAGCAGCCGCGGUAAUACGGAGGAUCCGAGCGUUAUCCGGAUUUAUUGGGUUUAAAGGGAGCGUAGAUGGGUUGUUAAGUCAGUUGUGAAAGUUUGCGGCUCAACCGUAAAAUUGCAAUUGAUACUGGCAGUCUUGAGUACAGUUGAGGUAGGCGGAAUUCGUGGUGUAGCGGUGAAAUGCUUAGAUAUCACGAAGAACUCCGAUUGCGAAGGCAGCUUACUAACCUGUAACUGACAUUGAUGCUCGAAAGUGUGGAUAUCAAACAGGAUUAGAUACCCUGGUAGUCCACACGGUAAACGAUGAAUACUCGCUGUAGGCGAUAUACAGUCUGCGGCCAAGCGAAAGCAUUAAGUAUUCCACCUGGGGAGUACGCCGGCAACGGUGAAACUCAAAGGAAUUGACGGGGGCCCGCACAAGCGGAGGAACAUGUGGUUUAAUUCGAUGAUACGCGAGGAACCUUACCCGGGCUUAAAUUGCAACCGAAUAUGGCGGAAACGCUAUAGCUAGCAAUAGCGGUUGUGAAGGUGCUGCAUGGUUGUCGUCAGCUCGUGCCGUGAGGUGUCGGCUUAAGUGCCAUAACGAGCGCAACCCUUGCCGAUAGUUACUAACAGGUCAUGCUGAGGACUCUGUCGGGACUGCCAUCGUAAGAUGUGAGGAAGGUGGGGAUGACGUCAAAUCAGCACGGCCCUUACGUCCGGGGCUACACACGUGUUACAAUGGGGGGUACAGAGGGCUGCUACCACGCAAGUGGAUGCCAAUCCCAAAAACCUCUCUCAGUUCGGAUUGAAGUCUGCAACCCGACUUCAUGAAGCUGGAUUCGCUAGUAAUCGCGCAUCAGCCACGGCGCGGUGAAUACGUUCCCGGGCCUUGUACACACCGCCCGUCAAGCCAUGGGAGCCGGGGGUACCUGAAGUGCGUAACCGCAAGGAGCGCCCUAGGGUAAAACUGGUGA
This 1441-nucleotide ribosomal RNA is filed under the name uncultured organism. RNAcentral's name for it is "16S ribosomal RNA". It matches the Rfam family "Bacterial small subunit ribosomal RNA". The record is from RNAcentral.